Molecule: ribosomal RNA, 216 nt
Filed under: Glomeromycotina sp.
Lineage: Eukaryota; Fungi; Glomeromycota
Description: partial small subunit ribosomal RNA
Rfam family: Eukaryotic small subunit ribosomal RNA (bases 87-216)
Source: RNAcentral
GGGUCAGUAGGUUGGCCGCUCCACCGGUACGUACUGGUCUCACUGAUUCCUCCUUCCUGAAGAACCGUAAUGCCACUAAUUUGGUGUUGCGGGGAAACAGGACUGUUACUUUGAAAAAAUUAGAGUGUUUAAAGCAAGCUAACGCUUGAAUACAUUAGCAUGGAAUAAUGAAAUAGGACGAUCGAUCCUAUUUUGUUGGUUUCUAGGAUUGACGUA